This 297-nucleotide ribosomal RNA is filed under the name Proteus mirabilis. RNAcentral describes it as "partial 23S ribosomal RNA". It matches the Rfam family "Bacterial large subunit ribosomal RNA", at positions 1 to 289 of the family's 2925-position model. The record is from RNAcentral. Lineage: Bacteria; Pseudomonadati; Pseudomonadota; Gammaproteobacteria; Enterobacterales; Morganellaceae.
GGGUUGUGAGGUUAAGCGAAUAAGCGUACACGGUGGAUGCCUAGGCAAUCAGAGGCGAUGAAGGACGUGCUAAUCUGCGAAAAGCGUCGGUAAGGUGAUAUGAACCGCUAUACCCGACGAUAUCCGAAUGGGGAAACCCAGUAUCCAAUGGAUACUAUCAUUAACUGAAUCCAUAGGUUAAUGAGGCGAACCGGGAGAACUGAAACAUCUCAGUACCCCGAGGAAAAGAAAUCAACCGAGAUUCCCCUAGUAGCGGCGAGCGAACGGGGAGCAGCCCAGAGUCUUAAUCAAUAGCAG